UACGUAGGGUGCAAGCGUUGUCCGGAAUUAUUGGGCGUAAAGAGCUCGUAGGCGGUUUGUCGCGUCGGCUGUGAAAGCCCGGAGCUCAACUCCGGGUCUGCAGUCGAUACGGGCAGACUUGAGUGUUGCAGGGGAGACUGGAAUUCCUGGUGUAGCGGUGAAAUGCGCAGAUAUCAGGAGGAACACCGGUGGCGAAGGCGGGUCUCUGGGCAACAACUGACGCUGAGGAGCGAAAGCGUGGGGAGCGAACA
RNAcentral lists this ribosomal RNA (251 nucleotides) under uncultured Geodermatophilaceae bacterium. RNAcentral's name for it is "partial 16S ribosomal RNA". It matches the Rfam family "Bacterial small subunit ribosomal RNA", at positions 524 to 774 of the family's 1533-position model. Lineage: Bacteria; Bacillati; Actinomycetota; Actinomycetes; Geodermatophilales; Geodermatophilaceae. The record is from RNAcentral.